ACGAACGCUGGCGGCAGGCCUAACACAUGCAAGUCGAGCGAACCCUUCGGGGUUAGCGGCGGACGGGUUAGUAACGCGUGGGAAUAUGCCCAAAGGUACGGAAUAGCCUCGGGAAACUGAGAGUAAUACCGUAUGUGCCCUUCGGGGGAAAGAUUUAUCGCCUUUGGAUUAGCCCGCGUUGGAUUAGGUAGUUGGUGGGGUAAUGGCCUACCAAGCCGACGAUCCAUAGCUGGUUUGAGAGGAUGAUCAGCAACACUGGGACUGAGACACGGCCCAGACUCCUACGGGAGGCAGCAGUGGGGAAUCUUAGACAAUGGGGGAAACCCUGAUCUAGCCAUGCCGCGUGGACGAUGAAGGCCUUAGGGUUGUAAAGUCCUUUCAGCUGGGAAGAUAAUGACGGUACCAGCAGAAGAAGCCCCGGCUAACUCCGU
This 431-nucleotide ribosomal RNA is filed under the name uncultured bacterium. RNAcentral describes it as "bacterial SSU rRNA". It matches the Rfam family "Bacterial small subunit ribosomal RNA", at positions 29 to 506 of the family's 1533-position model. The record is from RNAcentral.